AAAAGCAGGGGAUCGUAAGGCCUUGCGCUUUUGGAGCGGCCGAUGUCUGAUUAGCUAGUUGGUGGGGUAAGGGCCUACCAAGGCGACGAUCAGUAGUUGGUCUGAGAGGACGACCAGCCACACUGGGACUGAGACACGGCCCAGACUCCUACGGGAGGCAGCAGUGGGGAAUUUUGGACAAUGGGCGCAAGCCUGAUCCAGCAAUGCCGCGUGAGUGAAGAAGGCCUUCGGGUUGUAAAGCUCUUUCAGUCGAGAAGAAAAGGCUACGGUAAAUAAUCGUAGUUCAUGACGGUACCGACAGAAGAAGCACCGGCUAACUACGUGCCAGCAGCCGCGGUAAUACGUAGGGUGCGAGCGUUAAUCGGAAUUACUGGGCGUAAAGGGUGCGCAGGCGGCUCUGUAAGUCAGAUGUGAAAUCCCCGGGCUUAACCUGGGAAUUGCGUUUGAAACUACAAAGCUAGA
RNAcentral lists this ribosomal RNA (462 nucleotides) under uncultured beta proteobacterium. Its description in RNAcentral is "bacterial SSU rRNA". It matches the Rfam family "Bacterial small subunit ribosomal RNA", at positions 202 to 645 of the family's 1533-position model. The record is from RNAcentral. Lineage: Bacteria; Pseudomonadati; Pseudomonadota; Betaproteobacteria.